GACGAACGCUGGCGGCGUGCUUAACACAUGCAAGUCGAACGAUGAAGCUAGAGCUUGCUCCGGUGGAUUAGUGGCGAACGGGUGAGUAACACGUGAGUAACCUGCCCCGAACUCUGGGAUAACUGCUGGAAACGGUAGCUAAUACCGGAUAUGACCAAUGAAGGCAUCUUCUGUUGGUGGAAAGAAUUUCGGUUCGGGAUGGACUCGCGGCCUAUCAGCUUGUUGGUGAGGUAACGGCUCACCAAGGCGACGACGGGUAGCCGGCCUGAGAGGGUGAUCGGCCACACUGGGACUGAGACACGGCCCAGACUCCUACGGGAGGCAGCAGUGGGGAAUAUUGCACAAUGGGCGCAAGCCUGAUGCAGCAACGCCGCGUGAGGGACGACGGCCUUCGGGUUGUAAACCUCUUUUAGUAGGGAAGAAGCGAAAGUGACGGUACCUGCAGAGAAAGCACCGGCUAACUACGUGCCAGCAGCCGCCGCUG
Molecule: ribosomal RNA, 484 nt
Filed under: uncultured bacterium
Lineage: Bacteria
Description: partial 16S ribosomal RNA
Rfam family: Bacterial small subunit ribosomal RNA
Source: RNAcentral